RNAcentral lists this ribosomal RNA (453 nucleotides) under Gnaptorina artipenis. RNAcentral's name for it is "Gnaptorina sp. 2 XML-2019 partial 28S ribosomal RNA". The record is from RNAcentral. Lineage: Eukaryota; Metazoa; Arthropoda; Insecta; Coleoptera; Tenebrionidae.
UUCAGGGGUAAACCUGAGAAACCCGAAAGGUCGAAAGGGGAGAUUCAGCGUGUCUCGAUCGUGGCGCUGGACGGUCGUGCGACGGACGGCGUACGCGUCGUCCGCGCCUAUCGUUCUCCGAACUGCGGUCGAACGCGUGCACUUCUCCCCCUGUAGGACGUCGCGAUUCGUUGGGUGCCGGCCUAAGGCCCGAAGUGGAGUUCGUCCGGACGUUUCGGCGUUCGUGACGAACCUUCGGUGUUUUCCGGUCGGCUCGCUCGACGAUAUACAGAUGGCGCGGGGCCGCUACAUUAGUUAGCGUUCGACCUUCGGCAAGCGCGCUUCUCGCGACGGUGAUCGGACCUGGUGCCGGUCCCGUCCCCGGGCGACUGUUGGCCGAGGUGUUCUCGAACAGACCUCGUCGAAACGCCGAUCUGCGACGCUAUAGCUUUGGGUACUUUCAGGACCCGUCUU